UCCUACGGGAGGCAGCAGUGGGAAUAUUGCACAAUGGGGGAAACCCUGAUGCAGCGACGCCGCGUGAAGGAUGAAGUAUUUCGGUAUGUAAACUUCUAUCAGCAGGGAAGAAAAUGACGGUACCUGACUAAGAAGCCCCGGCUAACUACGUGCCAGCAGCCGCGGUAA
Molecule: ribosomal RNA, 168 nt
Filed under: uncultured Lachnospiraceae bacterium
Lineage: Bacteria; Bacillati; Bacillota; Clostridia; Lachnospirales; Lachnospiraceae
Description: partial 16S ribosomal RNA
Rfam family: Bacterial small subunit ribosomal RNA
Source: RNAcentral